GACGGAGGGGGCUAGCGUUGUUCGGAAUUACUGGGCGUAAAGGGCGCGUAGGUGGUUAUCUAAGUUAGGUGUUAAAGACCCGGGCUUAACCUGGGGAGUGCACUUAAUACUGGAUGACUUGAGUAUGGAAGAGGAAAGUGGAAUUCCUAGUGUAGAGGUAAAAUUCGUAGAUAUUAGGAGGAACACCAGUGGCGAAGGCGACUUUCUGGUCCAUAACUGACACUGAGGCGCGAAAGCGUGGGUAGCAAACAGG
This 253-nucleotide ribosomal RNA is filed under the name uncultured bacterium. Its description in RNAcentral is "partial 16S ribosomal RNA". It matches the Rfam family "Bacterial small subunit ribosomal RNA", at positions 524 to 776 of the family's 1533-position model. The record is from RNAcentral.